This 443-nucleotide ribosomal RNA is filed under the name uncultured bacterium. RNAcentral's name for it is "partial 16S ribosomal RNA". It matches the Rfam family "Bacterial small subunit ribosomal RNA", at positions 338 to 795 of the family's 1533-position model. The record is from RNAcentral.
CCUACGGGGGACAGCAGUGGGGAAUCUUGGGCAAUGGGCGGAAGCCUGACCCAGCAACGCCGCGUGAAGGAAGAAGGCUUUCGGGUUGUAAACUUCUUUUGUCAGGGACGAAGCAAGUGACGGUACCUGACGAAUAAGCCACGGCUAACUACGUGCCAGCAGCCGCGGUAAUACGUAGGUGGCAAGCGUUAUCCGGAUUUACUGGGUGUAAAGGGCGUGUAGGCGGGACUGCAAGUCAGAUGGGAAAACGAGGGGCUCAACCUGUGGACUGCAUUUGAAACUGUAGUUCUUGAGUACAGGAGAGGCAGGCGGAAUUCCUAGUGUAGCGGUGAAAUGCGUAGAUAUUAGGAGGAACACCAGUGGCGAAGGCGGUCUGCUGGACUGCAACUGACGCUGAGGCGCGAAAGCGUGGGGAGCAAACAGGAUUAGAUACCCCAGUAGUC